UACGCAGGCGGCUUUGUAAGUCAGAUGUGAAAGACUAUGGCUUAACUGUGGUAAGCAUUUGAAACUACAGAGCUUGAGUACAGGAUGGGAGAGUGGAAUUCCUAGUGUAGCGGUGAAAUGCGUAGAUAUUAGGAGGAAUACCAGUGGCGAAGGCGACUCUCUGGACUGUAACUGACGCUGAGGUACGAAAGCAUGGGGAGCAAACAGGAUUAGAUACCCUGGUAGUCCAUGCUAUAAACGAUGAGUGCUAGGUGUUGGGAGGGACACCUCUCGGUGCCGAAGUUAACACAUUAAGCACUCCGCCUGGGGAGUACGGUCGCAAGACUGAAACUCAAAGGAAUUGACGGGGACCCGCACAAGCAGCGGAGCAUGUGGUUUAAUUCGAUGCAACGCGAAGAACCUUACCAGGGCUUGACAUCCUUCAGCCAGGGCUAGAGAUAGCCCCUUCCCUUCGGGGACUGAGGAGACAGGUGGUGCAUGGUUGUCGUCAGCUCGUGUCGUGAGAUGUUGGGUUAAGUCCCGCAACGAGCGCAACCCUUGUCUUUAGUUGCAAACAGCUAGGCUGUGCACUCUAAAGAGACUGCCGAUGACAAAUCGGAGGAAGGUGGGGAUGACGUCAAAUCAUCAUGCCCUUUAUGUCCUGGGCUACACACGUGCUACAAUGGUCGGUACAACGGGAAGCGACCUCGUGAGAGUGAGCAAAA
Molecule: ribosomal RNA, 704 nt
Filed under: uncultured bacterium
Lineage: Bacteria
Description: bacterial SSU rRNA
Rfam family: Bacterial small subunit ribosomal RNA
Source: RNAcentral